GUCUCUCAGGAAGUCUACCUAUGGAUAUUUGCUUCAAUCAUCCAAAGCUAGAGAGGCUAAGGAUUUCAAUGAAUCAAUUGACCGGCAACAUUCCUCCAAGCUUGGGAGCUUGCAUGAAUCUAAAACUACUUUCUCUGUCAUACAAUAAUUUUGCCGGAAGCAUUCCAAUGGAAAUCGGGAAGUUGUCAAAGCUACAAGUUCUCUAUCUCGGAGGAAAUAAUUUGGCAGGUAAGUUUAAAGGGCUGUUCACAUACAUAUCUUCCACUUCACUAGAUAAAGUAAUACAAAAAUUUUGACAAUUGACAAGAAUUGUUGUCCCUUCACAUCAUAAAACAUCUCUUACAUGCAUAGUGAUAUGCAUGUUGAUGGCCAUGGAGUAUGUCCUUUUACAUAGCUUCACUAAAAGUUAUGUGCAUAAUAAUCCCUAAAACCUCAAUUGUGCAUUUUGAAAGAUGUGUUCCAAUAUCCAUAGCAUUUUCCAAUAAGUAUUAGAAAUACAUUGUAAUAACAUCAAGUCCAACAUACCCAAUCAACUUUUUUAUGAGAUGGAUACUGCUAGUGGCUAGCCACAUUAUAAUGUUUAGUCAGUGUUUUAUAAUCCUUUCAUUAUUAAUGGCAUGUAGUGAUUUUUUUAUUUUUUUUAUUUGUUAGUUUGAGGGAAUAGGAUAAGAAAUUUUAGUUACGAAGGUACUAAAUUUAAAAUGGUCAUAGAUUGAAACAAUAUUCAUGCUGCUAGAAAAUCCAAAAGAGCUUUAAGUGACCAUCUAGACAUUUUAAACUCUUUUGACAAAUAUAUUUCCGUAUGUAUAGCAUUUUCCAAAUAAUUAUUAGACAUACAUCAUGUAACAAUAACUUGUUCCUAAUUUUCAAAAUUAAAAGUAGUUGGUACUUCUUCUCUUUCAUUAGAUCUAUUUGUGUUAACUUAGCACUUGAUAUUUUAAAAUCCACAAGUUUUGUAAAUGGAUUGACAGUAAAUAUACGAAAUGAAAUUUUGGAAACCUAUCAGCACUUGUAUAUUUAGAUUUGUAGCACAACGGUUUCAAUGGUAUGUAUUAAGAUCUUCUAAACUUAUUUUAUACAUUUCAAUGUUAUAAGAAUCAUUAAGUGUAGCUAGACGUCAAAGCUAAGCUUCAAGUUAUUAUGAGCCUAAACGGGCUAGGCAGCAAGGCCUUGCUUCGUGCCUAGAAUAUUGGUUAAACUUAUUUGUUUUCCUAAUAAAAAAUUUAUAAUAAAGCUUAAAAAAAUUGUCAAACAUAACAAAAAAUUUUAUGCUGAUGGAAAGUCUAAAUGAACUUUAGGUUACCAUGCACCUAGGCAUUUUACGCACUGUUGACAAAUAAUUUUCAACAUGUAUGCAUUUUCCAAAUAAUGAUUAGAAAUACAUUAUGAAACAAUAACUUCAUGGGUACUUAAUUAUCAAUUUUUGGUACUUCAUCUUUCAUUUGUUGUAUUUUGUGUUAAUUCAACAUGCUAUAUUUUAAAAUCUACAUAUUUAAAUGGAUUGAAAAAGAAAAAAAAAAUUGAAAAAUAUCAGCACUUGUAUUACUAAAUUUGAGGCCCAACGGUUUCAAUGGUACGCACAUAGGUCUUCGAAAUAGUAUUAUAUUAAAUUCAAUGUUGUAAAAAGUGUAAAAUAUGACUUGACGUCAAGGUUAAGCUCAGGAGUUCUACUAGCCUAAACGAGCUAGGCAUACAAAAGUGUACUGUGUAGGCUAGGUGAUAGGGCAAGCUUCGUGCCUAAUUGCACCUUUAGAACACUUAAUAAAUCUAUUUCGAUUUUUUUAUUUAGUUUCAUGACAAAGAUUUAUAUCAAAUUCUAAAUUUAAAAUUUUCUUAUACAAAAAAGAUUUUUUUGUCGGUGGAAAAUCAAAAUGAACUUCAGGUAACCACCUAAGCAUUUUACACUGUUUUUCACAAAAGUUUUUCAAAAUUAUGCCAUCUACCAAACAUUUAUUAGAAAUAAUGGGUACUUAAUUAUCGAAUUCAAACUAGUAGGUACUUCUCUUUCAUUAGAUCUAUUUUGUGUUAAUUUAACAUUUGAUAUUUUAAAAUCUGUAUGUCUAAAUGGAUUGACAGGAAAUAUUUCAAAUGAAAUUGGAAACCUAUCAGCAAUUGAAGAUCUAGAAUUGCUCUCCAACAAUUUGAAUGGUAUGUAACUACAUCUCUUAAACUUAUGCUAUAUAUUAAAUCGAGUGUUUUAAAAAUCAUAAAGCUUGAAAAAACGUCAAGGCUAACCUUGUAGCUUUUACGAGCCUAAGUGGGCUUGUAUAUAAAAUCGUAAAGUGUGGUUUGGUGGCAAGGCUCGGCUUCAUGCUUAGACGCUCUUUUAAAAACACUAACUAAAACUAUUCAAUUUGUUUAUUUAGUGUCUUGACAAAGAUUUAUACCAAGAUUCUAAAUUUAAAAUUUUUGUAUAUGACAGAUUUUUAUUCUGGUGGAAAAUCUAAACGAACAUUGGGUUUCCACCUAUGCAUUUUACAUUCUUUUGGCAAAUGUUUUUCGAAAUGUGUGGUAUCUUCCAAAUAUUCUUUAGAAACACAACAUGAUCACAUCGAAUCCUAAGUACCCAACAUGCUUAUACUUGCUAAACUUUUCAGUAUUAAUUGAAUUUAGUUUUUUUAUUCUUAAUUUCUUAGAUUGAUGACCUAGAAAUCAUUAUCAGUUAUGAAAACUUUAAAUUUAAAAUGGUCACCUUUAACAAAGAUUUUUAUGCUGAUGGGAAUCAAGAUGAACUUUAGGCUAUCUCUUAGUCAUUUUACAAUCUUUUGACAAAUAAUUUUAAGCAUGUUUGACAUUUUUCAAAUAAUUAUUAGAAAUAUAUUAUGCGACAAUAACUUCAUAAUUACUCAGUCAUCAACUUCAAAUUAGUUGGUACUCCCCCUACUCCCUAAGAUCUAUUUUGUGUCAAUUUAACAUUUGAUGAAACUUUAGGUUUUCACCUAUGCAUUUUACACUCUUUUGACAAAUUAUUUUCAAAAUAUGUGGUAUUUUUCAUGUAAUUAUUAAAACUACAGCAUAAUUAGUUUGAAUCCAAAUUACCCAAUUUGCUUGAGAUGAAGAUCGAUAAUACUAGCGGCUAGCUUCAUUAUAAUGUUUUAGUGCCUAGGAUGCAAUUUAGUUAUGAAAACUCUCUAUUUAAAUGGUCACCUAACCUUUAACAAAGAUAUAUAUGCUGAUGGAAAAUCUAAAUGAGCCUUAUGCUACCACAUAGUCACUUUAUAGUCUUUUGACAUGUUUUUCAGCAUUUAUGGCAUUUUUCAAAUAAUUAGUAAAAAUAUAUCAUACAAAAAUAACUUAUAGUUACCUAAUACUCAACUUCAAAUUAGUUGGUACAUCAUGUCUUUCAUAAGAUCUUUUUGGAUAUAAAAAAAUAAAAAAUAAAAAAAAAUAUUUUGAAAGCGGAAAUUCAGGCCAUGCAUAUUUCAAAAGACUGUCUAAGAUUUAAAAUUGUAAGUUAUGCACGCUUUAAGCUUUUUUCAUUCUUAAGAAAAUCUCUGCAUUCUACUAGAAAAUAGGGGAGUAUUGGUGGGCAACGAAGUCUCCAAAAGCUAAUUAUUUCUUUUGGAUUAUUAGAAGAAUGAAACCUUCAUUUGUGGAAAAACUUCCACAAUUUCCACAAUGAAAGAUAAGGAAAAAUGAUGACAUCCAAUGGAAUAAAUUUUCCAGUUUCAUAGUCAAGCAAAGUUUGUUUUAUUUUUGGAAAAAAGUGACAUUCAUAAUGGUGUGAUGAGCGCCGCUCCCCUGAGAUAAAACCCCAAUCAACACAUUAACCAUAAAUUACCACAUCGAGUCAGAAACAUUCUUUGGACGUUAUUAAUCUAUUACAAUUCAUUUAUUUCAAUAAUAUCUUACUUUUCAUUUAACAAUAUUGAAAAUUACUGGGAACGCUCUGAUACCACUUGAAAAAUAUCUAGGAACACUCUACAGCCACUUGAAAGUUCACGGGAACAUGUUGCUAUGUCAAAUUCAAAUUUUAAGCUUUACCAAGUUUAUGUUCCAAUUAAUCAAUUCGACCUUACGUGCGGAAUUAACACAAUUAAUAGGAACAAGUCACUGAUUAAUUGGUUGUCUAGGUGAUUAAUCAUACAAUCCAAUUUCCCUAAGUUUAAAUGCCGCAAUAAUAAGAUGGAAAGCAAUUAAAUCAACAGACAAUAUGAUGACGAAGAAACCCAACGUGUGUAAAACUCUGGGACCAUGCUAGUAAGUUCCAAUAUACCAAAUCAGUCAGUACAAGUUCUGCCAAACUUCAUACCUAGUCAGGACCUACUGUUCCAAUCUCACGGUCUACUGUCGUAGAUGCUACUAGUCUCCUGCUAGCUUUCUGAUCUACCUCCUGCAACCCAAUCUACUGUCCAAUACAUCUUCAUGGUCUUUAGCUACUUGUAUCACCAAGUGGAAUUCCAAAAACCUCCUGUUCUUGUCCAGUUCCUGUGCUUGUCAUCCACCUCUCUUAAUCCUCUAAUGAGAGAGUCUCUUCCUCAACAGAUAAAGAAGUCCAGGUGUUUUGUCUUCACAAACUUUGAUGUUUUCCCCAACAAUAGAUUGCCCGGAUCACAAGGUGUUUAUGGAUGAAUUCCUUGUUCAGUCCUGCCUUGGAUCACUUGAGAGAAUAAUAGAAGAAUGAUAUCAAUGUUUAGCACAAUGUGGCGAUCUCCUUUUCACGUCCAAGACAUGUUCUAUUUAUACUUGGGGGUAAUUAAGUGUCUUGGACCGUUUAAAACUCUCCAAAAUGCGACCUUAGAACUGGUAGGGUAACACUAUCGUUCGAGUGACAAUUGAGCGGUGAGCGAGCGGCGUGACUUCGCUCGAGCGAAGUCUGGGCAAAGAGCGAGCGACAAGCAUUCUGCUUUUCUCGCUCGAGCGAUGGUCAGGCGAGCAGCUACCGAACUUUCGAUGUCUUGUCCUCCAUUUUGACCUAACACUCAAACCCUAGUCCCUACUAUCUAACUUUACUAAAUUGCACCUUAAGUCACUGACUUUUAUAGCAUUGUACAAUUGAGUCCCUGACUUUUACAAAUUUACAAUUUAGUCCUUUCGUCCACAGAAUUGCCAAUUACACUUUUAGACAUAAAAAAUAUCUAAUAAAUACUACAAAAUCCUUAUCAUGUAUGAAUUUUGUGCUAUUAAUUCUCAAUAACUUAAAAUUCACACUAAUCUAGACUCAAUGAAGUUUGACUUGAUGAAUCUUGACAUACAUAAAUCUAGAGUUAUUAUAGAUAAAUUUAUUUCAUGUAUCUUGAAGUUUUAAUAGGAUUUUAAAUUCAUUAUUAAUAAUUAAUUUUCAUGUACCAAAUGUAGUAUAAAAUGUUUGCUCGUUUGUAAUACUUCAUCAUUUCAAAAAAAUUUAAUCACAGAAGUUGAGUUUUGAGUGUACAAUUUUAUUCUCCUAAAUUUAUAUCUUAAAUUUUAUUUUCUUUGGUUAGGUUGAGACUCAUCAAAUCCUCCCAACAAAUUGGGGUCAAAUAUUACUUUUACAGCACUUGUAAAUUAUUUCAGUAUAACGUGCAAUGCACGUUCAACUUUGACUAGUAUAGACCAAAAGUCAUAAAAUAUACUAUAAGAUAAAUUAAGCACUUCUAAUAAUGAAUUUAUAAGCAUCGAGCUAAAUAAUUUUAGUUAAGUGUUCUUAAUAACGAAAAAAACCAUACUUCUGGAUAUCAAAAGAUUAAUUAAAAAAUAAAAAAAUCUUCUAAAAAGGGAAAUUCAGGCCAUGCGUAUUUCAUAAAACUUUCUGAGAUUUGAACUUUUAAGUUAUGCACACUUUAAGAUUUUUUUUUUCCUUUAGAAAAUCUUUGCACUAUAAGAAAGUGGGGGAGUAUUGGUGUACAAUGAAAUCUCCAAAAAUUAAUUAUUUCUUUUGAAUUAUUAGAAGAGUGAAACCUUCAUUUGUGGAAAAGCUUCCACAAUUUCCACAAUAAAAGAUAAGGAAAAUUCUCAACAUCCAAUGGAAUACUUUUUCCAGUUUCAUAAUCAAGCAUAGUUUAUUUUAUUUUUGGAAAAAAUGAAGUUCAUCAUGGGGUGAUGAGCACCACUCCCUUGAGAUAAAACCUUAACCAACACGUUAACCAUAAAUUAACUUGUACACUUAUCUUGCUUAAGCUUUAAUUUUUUUUAUACAUAGCCACACACACACACACACACUCUCUCUCUCUCUCUCUCUCUCUCUCUCUCUCUCUUACACUUUCAUCAAACUCGUCAUUACCAACCCCCUCCCAAUUAUCUUUUUGCAUUUCAAAUUAGCCAUGGGAAAGAAUGUCAUCUUUAUGUCGUUGGCAAUGGUCUACUUGCUUAUCAACAAUGCAACAUCUCCAAAUAGCUUUACUGAUGAAUAUGCUCUUCUAGCUUUCAAAUCUCAAAUUACUUCCGAUCCAAAUAAAAUUUUGACAAAAAAUUGGUCACAACGAACCUCAUUCUGCAAUUGGAUUGGCAUUACUUGUGGCAGAAGACAUCAAAGAGUUAGGGGAUUGAAUCUAGCAGAUAUGGGUCUAGGAGGUACUAUUGCUAAAGAAAUUGUGAACUCUCUUUUUUGAGAUCCUUAAUUAUUAGCCAUAAUAAUUUUCAUGGGCUCAUCCCUAAUGAAAUUGGUAAGCUAGCCAGCUUCAAGAAAUAGAGAUGCAGCACAAUGAGCUAACUGGUUCUAUUCCACCAACUUUUGAAUUUCUUGAAAAUCUAUUGACGUUAAAUAUCUCCCAUAACGGACUCACCGGAAAUAUUCCUAACAAGAUUUUCAACCACACUUCUUUGAUUGAAAUUAGUUUUGGAAACAAUAGUCUCUCAGGAAGUCUACCUAUAGAUAUUUGCUUCAAUCUUCCAAAGCUAGAGAGGCUAAGGAUUUCAGUGAAUCAAUUGAGCGGUAACAUUCCUCCAAGCUUGCGAGCUUGCAUGAAUCUUAAAUUCCUUUCUCUGUCAUAAAAUAAUUUUGCAGGAAGCAUUCCAAUGGAAAUCGGGAAGUUGUCAAAGCUUCAAGUUCUCUAUCUCGAAGAAAAUAAUUUGGCAGGCAAGUUUAAAGCGUUGUUCACAUACAUAUCUCCCACUUCACUAGAUAAAGUAUUUCAAAAAUUUUGACAAAUGACAAGAAUUGUUGUCUGCGUGUUGAUGGCCAUGGAGUAUGUCCUUUUACAUAGCUUCACUAAAAGUUAUGUGCAUAAUAAUCCCUAAAACCUCGAUUGUGCAUUUUGAAAAAUGUGUUCCAGCAUCCAUAGCAUUUUCCAAUAAGUAUUAGAAAUACAUCGUAAUAACAUCAAAUCCAACAUACCCAAUCAGCUUUUUUAUGAGAUGGAUACAGCCAGUAGCUAGCCACAUUAUAAUAAUUAGUCAGUAUUUUAUAAUUUUUCAUUAUUAAUCGGAUGUAGUGAUUUUUUUUUAAUUUGUUAGUUUCAGGGCAUAUGAUAUGAAAUUUUAGUUAUGAAAACACUAAAUUUAAAAUGGUCAUAUAUUGCAACUAUAUUUAUGCUGCUAGAAAAUCUAAAUGAGCUUUAAGUGACCAUCUAGACAUUUUACACUCUUUUGACAAAUAUACAUCGUAUGUGUAUCAUUUUCCAAAUAAUUAUUAGACAUACAUCAUGUAACAAUAACUUGCUCUUAAUUUUUAAAAUUAAAAGUAGUUGGUACCUCUUCUCUUUCAUUAGAUCUAUUUUGUGUUAACUUAGCAUUCGAUAUUUUAAAAUCCACACAUUUUUUAAGUGGAUUGAUAGUAAAUAUACCAAAUGAAAUUGGAAACCUAUCAGCACUUGUAUAUUUAGAUUUGUAACACAACUGUUUCAGUGGUAUGUAUCAAGAUCUCCUAAACUUAUUUUAUACAUUUCAAUGUUAUGAGAAUCAUUAAGUGUAGCUAGAUGUCAAAGCUAAGCUUCAAGUUAUUAUGAGCCUAAAUGGGCUAGGCGGCAAGGCCUUGCUUCUUGCCUAGAAUAUUGGUUAAAUUUAUUUUUUGUCCUAAUAAAAAAUUUAUACUAAAGCUUAAAAAAAAUUGUCGAAUAUAACAAAAAAAUUUAUGCUGAUGGAAAAUCUAAAUGAUCUUUAGGUUGCCAUGCACCUAGGCAUUUUACGCACUUUUAACAAAUAAUUUUCAACAUGUUUUCAUUUUCCAAAUAAUGAUUAGAAAUACAUUAUGAAACAACAACUUCAUGGGUACUUAAUUAUCAAUUGUUGGUACUUCGUCUUUCAUUAGUUGUAUUUUGUGUUAAUUCAACAUGCUAUAUUUUAAAAUCUACAUAUUUAAAUGGAUUGAAAAAGAAAAAGAAAUUGAAAAAGUAUCAGCGCUUGUAUUACAAGAUUUGAGGCCCAAUGGUUUCAAUGGUAUGUACGUAGGUCUUUGAAAUAGUUUUAUAUUAUAUUCAAUGUUGUAAAAUGCGUAAAAUAUGACUUGACGCCAAGGUUAAGCUUCGGAGUUCUACUAGCCUAAAUGAGCUAGGCAUACAAAAGUGUACUGUGUAGGCUAGGUGAUAGGGCAAGCUUCGUGCCUAAAUGCACCUUUAGCACACUUAUUAAAUCUAUUUCAAUUUGUUUAUUUAGUUUCAUGAUAAAGAUUUAUAUCAAAUUCUAAAUCUAAAAUUUUCUUACCCAAAAAAUAUUUUUUUGCCAGUGGAAAAUCAAAAUGAACUUCAGGUAACCACCUAGGCAUUUUGCGCUGUUUUUCACAAAAGUUUUUCAAAAUUAUGCCAUCUUCCAAACAUUUAUUAGAAAUACAUCAUGCAGCAACAGUAACUCCAUGGCUACUUAAUUAUCGAAUUCAAACUAGUAGGUACUUCUUCUCUUUCAUUAGAUCUAUUUUGUGUUAAUUUAACAUUUGAUAUUUUAAAAUCUGUAUGUCUAAAUGGAUUGACAGGAAAUAUUCCAAAUGAAAUUGGAAACCUAUCAGCAAUUGAAGAUCUAGAAAUGCUCUACAACAAUUUGAGGGGUAUGUAACUACAUCUAUUAAACUUAUGCAAUAUAUUGAGUGUUGUAAAACUCGUAAAGCUUGACAAAACGUCAAGGCUAACCUUUUAGCUUUUACGAGCCUCAAUGGGCUUGUAUAUAAAAGCAUAAAGUGUGGUUUGGUGGCAAGGCUCGGCUUCAUGCUUAGACGCUCUUUUUAAGACACUAAUUAAAUCUAUUCAAUUUGUUUAUUUAGUAUCUUGACAAAGAUUUAUGCCAAGAUUCUAAAUUUAAAAUUUUCGUAUACAACAAAUAUUUUUAUUCUAGUGGAAAAUCUAAACGAACUUUGGGUUUCCAACCUAUGCAUUUGACACUCUUUUGGCAAAUUAUUUCAAGGUGUGGUAUUUUCCAAAUAUUCUUUCGAAACACAGCAUGAUCACAUCAAAUCCUAAGUACCCAACAUGCUUAUACUUGCUAAACUUUUCAGUAUUUAUUGAAUUUAGUUUUUUUAUUCUUGAUUUUUAGAUUGACGACCUAGAAUGCAUUAUCAGUUAUUAAAACUUUAAAUUUAAAAUGGUCACCUUUAACAAAUAUUUUUAUGCUGAUGGGAAUCAAGAUGAACUUUAGGCUAUCUCUUAGUCAUUUUACAAUCUUUUGACAAAUAAUUUUAAGCAUGUUUGACAUUUUUCAAAUAAUUAUUAGAAAUAUAUUAUGCGACAAUAACUUCAUAGUUACUCAGUCAUCAACUUCAAAUUAGUUGGUACUCCCCCUGUUCCCUAAGAUCUAUUUUGUGUUAAUUUAACAUUUGAUGAAACUUUAGGUUUCCACCUAUGCAUUUUACACUCUUUUGACAAAUUGUUUUCAAAAUAUGUGGUAUUUUUCAUGUAAUUAUUAAAACUACAGGAUAAUUACUUCGAAUCCAAAUUACCCAAUUUUCUUGAGAUGAAGAUCGAUAAUACUAGCGGCUAGCCUCAUUAUAAUGUUUUAGUACCUAGGAUGCAAUUUAGUUAAGAAAACUCUCAAUUUAAAUGGUCACCUAACCUUUAACAAAGAUAUAUAUGCUGAUGGAAAAUCUAAAUGAGCCUUAUGCUACCACGUAGUCACUUUAUACUCUUUUGACAUGUUUUUCAGCAUUUAUGGCAUUUUUCAAAUAAUUAGUAAAAAUAUAUCAUACAAAAAUAACUUAUAGUUACCUAAUACUCAACUUCAAAUUAGUUGGUACAUCUUGUCUUUCAUAAGAUCUUUUUGGAUAUCAAAAAAACAAUAAAAAUAAAAAAAAAAUCUUUUCAAAACAGAAAUUCAGGCCAUGCAUAUUUCAAAAGACUGUCUAAGAUUUAAAAUUGUAAGUUAUGCACGCUUUAAGCAUUUUUCAUUCUUAAGAAAAUCUCUGCAUUCUACUAGAAAAUGGGGGAGUAUUGGUGUGCAUUGAAGUCUCCAAAAGCUAAUUAUUUCUUUUGGAUUAUUAGAAGAAUGAAACCUUCAUUUGUGGAAAAACUUCCACAAUUUCCACAAUAAAAGAUAACGAAAAAUGACAACAUCCAAUGGAAUAAUUUUUCCAGUUUCAUAUUCAAGCAAAGUUUGUUUUAUUUUUGGAAAAAAGUGAAAUUCAUAAUGGUGUGAUGAGCACCACUCCCUUGAGAUAAAACCCCAAUCAACACAUUAACCAUAAAUUACCACAUUGAGUCAGAAACAUUCUUUGGACGUUAUUAAUCUAUUACAAUUCAUUUAUUUCAAUAAUAUCUUACUUUUCGUUUAACAAUAUCUAAUAAAUACUACAAAAUCCUUAUCAUGCAUGAAUUUCGUGCUUUUAGUUCUCAAUAAAUUAACAUUCACACUAAUCUGGACUCAAUGAAUCUUGACUUGAUGAAUGUUGACCUACAUAAAUUUAGAGUUAUUAUAGUUAAAUUUAUUUCAUGUAACUUGAAAUUUUAAUAGGAUUUUAAAUUCAUUAUUAAUAAUUAAUUUUUAUAUACCAAAUGUAGUAUAAAAAGGUUGCUCGUUUGUAGUACUUCAUCAUUUCAAAAAAAAUUAAAUAACAGAAGUUGAGUUUUGAGAGUACAAUUUUCUUCACUUAAAUUUAUAUUUUAAAUUUUAUUUUCUUUGGUUAGGUUGAGACUCAUCAAAUCCUCCCAACAAAUUGGGGUGAAAUAUUACUUUUACAGCACAUUUAAUGUAUUUCAGUAUAACGUGCAACGCACAUUCAACUUUGACUAGUACAGACCAAAAGUCAUAAAAUAUAUUAAAAGAUAUAUUAAGCACUUCUAAUAAUGAAUUUAUAAGCAUCAAGCUAAAUAAUUUUAGUUAGAACCGUGCUACAGAGCCCGGGAUUUAAUCCCGGGCUCCGAUCCAGGGCCGAGGUGGAAACACCUCGACCGUUGAUCACCUGCACUUGGGGAGCCCGCCAUCACGAUCGGGGGGACCUCGGCCCCCAGCUCCAAACUCAGGAUUUUAUCUCGAGAGGAGCAGCAUUAUUCUUUUAGUUAAGUGUUCAUAAUAACGAAAAAAAAAAACCUUACUUCUGGAUAUCAAAAGAUUAAUUAAAAAAUAAAAAAAUCAUCAAAAAAGAGAAAUUCAGGCCAUGCAUAUUUCAUAAAGCUGUCUAAGAUUUAAACUUUUAAGUUAAGCACACUUUAAGAUUUUAUUUUAUUUUUUUCCAUAAGAAAAUCUCUGCAUUCUACAAGAAAGUGGGGGAGCAUUGGUGGACAAUGAAAUCUCCAAAAAUUAAUUAUUUCUUUUGGAUUAUUAGAAGAAUGAAACCUUCAUUUGUGGAAAAACAUCCACAAUUUCCACAAUAAAAGAUCAGGAAAAUUCUCAACAUCCAAUGGAAUACUUUUUCCAGUUUCAUAGUCAAGCAUAUUUUAUUUUAUUUUUGGAAAAAAUGAAGUUCAUCAUGGGGUGAUGAGCAACACUCCCUCAAGAUAAAACCUCUACCAACAGGUUAACCAUAAAUUAACUUGUACACCUUCUUGCUUAAGCUUUAAUUUUUUUAUAUAUAUCCGUACACACAUACACACACACACACACACACACUCUAACACUUACAUCAAACCCAUCAUUACCAACCCCCUCCCAAUUAUCUUUUUGCAUUUCAAAUUAGCCAUGGGAAGGAAUGUCAUCUUUAUGUCGUUGGCAAUGGUCUACUUGCUUAUCAACAUUGCUACAUCUCUAAAUAGCUCCACUGAUGAAUAUGCUCUUCUAGCUUUCAAAUCUCAAAUUACUUCCAAUCCAAAUAAAAUUUUGGCAAAAAAUUGGUCACAAGGAACCUCGUUCUGCAAUUUGGAUUGGCAUUACUUGUGGCAGGAGACAUCAAAGAGUUAGGGGAUUGAAUCUAGUAGAUAUGGGUCUAGGAGGUACUAUUGCUAAAGAAAUUGGUGAACUCUCUUUUUUGAGAUCCUUAAUUAUUAGCAAUAAUAAUUUUCAUGGGUUUAUCUCUAAUGAAAUUGGUAAGCUCAGCCAGCUUCAAGAAAUAGAGAUGCAGCACAAUGAGCUAACUGGUUAUAUUCCACCAACUUUUGAAUUUCUUGAAAAUCUAUUGACGUUAAAUAUCUCCCAUAAUGGACUCUCCGGAAAUAUUCCUAACAAGAUUUUCAACAACACUUCUUUAAUUAAAAAUAGUUUUGGAAACAAUAGUCUCUCAAGAAGUCUACCUAUGGAUAUUUGCUUCAAUCUUCCAAAGCUAGAGAGGCUAAGGAUUUCAGUGAAUUAAUUGAGUGGCAACAUUCCUCCAAGCUUGGGAGCUUGCAUGAAUCUUAAACUACUUUCUCUGUCAUACAAUAAUUUUGCAGGAAGCAUUCCAAUGGAAAUCGGGAAGUUGUCAAAGCUUCAAGUUCUCUAUCU
This 12690-nucleotide long non-coding RNA is filed under the name Olea europaea (common olive). RNAcentral's name for it is "long non-coding RNA (OEUR_LNC008911)". The record is from RNAcentral. Lineage: Eukaryota; Viridiplantae; Streptophyta; Magnoliopsida; Lamiales; Oleaceae.